This is a long non-coding RNA of Xiphophorus hellerii (green swordtail), 292 nucleotides long. RefSeq lists it as uncharacterized. The record is from RefSeq and is a predicted model, not a curated record. The transcript has 2 exons. Lineage: Eukaryota; Metazoa; Chordata; Actinopteri; Cyprinodontiformes; Poeciliidae.
CCUGUUUCAUUAUUCGAUCUGGUAACUGUAUCUUUCCUAUUAUGUGUCUCAGAUCACAAAGAAAAAACCCAGCCAGAAACCCACGUAUGUCAGCCUAAGACAGAGUCUGGAAGACAUGAAAUCUCACUGCUUAGAAAAUGGUGUCAAUAGGAUAUCAAUACCUCGAAUUGGCUGUGGCCUGGACCAGCUGCUGUGGUCAAAGGUGUCAAAGAUCCUGGAACAGAUCUUUAAAGAGACAAAUAUCUCCAUCACAGUGUACAGCCUGCCCUGUGUUGGGUCACAGCUUCAAAUG